CACAGCACCACUUCCGGUCAUAAUUUUAAAUAUUAAAAUAAAUGUUGAGUCAGAGCUUAAAGGACACACAGCAGAGCUGAGAAAGGUCACGUGGCUUGUCCUC
Molecule: long non-coding RNA, 103 nt
Organism: Dipodomys spectabilis (banner-tailed kangaroo rat)
Lineage: Eukaryota; Metazoa; Chordata; Mammalia; Rodentia; Heteromyidae
Exons: 3
Source: RefSeq, a predicted model, not a curated record